GAUGAACGCUGGCGGCGUGUCUAAUGCAUGCAAGUCGAACGGGGUUGUGGGAGCUUGCUCCUAUAACCUAGUGGCGGACGGGUGAGUAACGCGUGAGCAACCUGCCCUUAGGUGGGGGACAACACUGAGAAAUUAGUGCUAAUACCGCAUAAUGUGCGAUGGCGGCAUCGCCGGGGCACCAAAGAUUUAUCGCCGAAGGAUGGGCUCGCGUCUGAUUAGCUAGUUGGUGGUGUAACGGACCACCAAGGCAACGAUCAGUAGCCGGACUGAGAGGUCGAUCGGCCACAUUGGGACUGAGAUACGGCCCAGACUCCUACGGGAGGCAGCAGCCGAGAAUAUUGGGCAAUGGGGGAAACCCUGACCCAGCAACGCCGCGUGAAGGAAGAAGGCUUUCGAGUUGUAAACUUCUUUGACGAGGGACGAACAAAAUGACGGUACUUCGAAAACAAGCCACUGCUAACUACGUGCCAGCAGCAGCGGUAAUACGUAGGUGGCGAGCGUUAUCCGGAUUUACUGGGUGUAAAGGGCGCGUAGGCGGAACUGUAAGUCUGACGUGUAAUCUAGAGGCUUAACCUCUAAACUGCGUUGGAAACUGCGGUUCUUGUAGUCCACGCUGUAAACGAUGAAUACUAGGUGUGGGGGGUCUGACCCCUUCCGUGCCGGAGUUAACACAAUAAGUAUUCCACCUGGGGAGUACGGCCGCAAGGCUGAAACUCAAAUGAAUUGACGGGGCCCCGCACAAGCAGUGGAUUAUGUGGUUUAAUUCGAUGCUACGCGAAAAACCUUACCAGGGCUUGACAUGGAGAUGACCGCCGUAGAGAUACGGUUUCCCCUUCGGGGGCAUCUCACACAGGUGGUGCAUGGUUGUCGUCAGCUCGUGUCGUGAGAUGUUGGGUUAAGUCCCGCAACGAGCGCAACCCCUAUUGUUAGUUGCUACGCGAGAGCACUCUAGCGAGACUGCCGUUGACAAAACGGAGGAAGGAGGGGACGAUGUCAAAUCAUCAUGCCCUUUAUGUCCUGGGCUACACACGUAAUACAAUGGCGCAUCAACAAAGGGAGGCAAAGCCGCGAGGUGGAGCAAAUCCCCAAAAGGCGUCCCAGUUCGGAUCGCAGGCUGCAACCCGCCUGCGUGAAGUCGGAAUUGCUAGUAAUCGCGGAUCAGCAUGCCGCGGUGAAUACGUUCCCGGGGCUUGUACACACCGCCCGUCAUGCCAUGAGAGCCGGGAACACCCGAAGCCUGUGAGCUAACCGCAAGGGGGCAGCAGUCGAAGGUGGGUUUGGUGAUUAGGGUA
This 1292-nucleotide ribosomal RNA is filed under the name uncultured Bacillota bacterium. RNAcentral describes it as "bacterial SSU rRNA". It matches the Rfam family "Bacterial small subunit ribosomal RNA". Lineage: Bacteria; Bacillati; Bacillota. The record is from RNAcentral.